UACGGAGGGUGCAAGCAUUGAUCGGAAUUACUGGGCGUAAAGGGCGCGUAGGCGGUCCGUAAAGUCAGGUGUGAAAUUCCGGGGCUCAACCCCGGAGCUGCAUUUGAAACUUACAGACUAGAGUACAGUUAGGGAAAACGGAAUUCCACGUGUAGCGGUGAAAUGCGUAGAUAUGUGGAAGAACACCGGUGGUGAAGACGGUUUUCUGGGCUGAAACUGACGCUGAGGCGCGAAAGCUAGGGGAGCAAACAGG
RNAcentral lists this ribosomal RNA (253 nucleotides) under uncultured bacterium. RNAcentral's name for it is "partial 16S ribosomal RNA". It matches the Rfam family "Bacterial small subunit ribosomal RNA", at positions 524 to 776 of the family's 1533-position model. The record is from RNAcentral.